Molecule: ribosomal RNA, 465 nt
Filed under: uncultured bacterium
Lineage: Bacteria
Description: bacterial SSU rRNA
Rfam family: Bacterial small subunit ribosomal RNA
Source: RNAcentral
CCAGACUCCUACGGGAGGCAGCAGUGGGGAAUAUUGCACAAUGGGGGAAACCCUGAUGCAGCGACGCCGCGUGAGUGAAGAAGUAUUUCGGUAUGUAAAGCCCUAUCAGCAGGGAAGAAAUAGCGACCUUUGGGUCGCCAGACGGUACCUGAUUAAGAAGCCCCGGCUAACUACGUGCCAGCAGCCGCGGUAAUACGUAGGGGGCAAGCGUUAUCCGGAUUUACUGGGUGUAAAGGGAGCGUAGACGGCAGCGCAAGUCUGAAGUGAAAUGCCGGGGCUUAACCCCGGAACUGCUUUGGAAACUGUGCAGCUAGAGUGCAGGAGAGGUAAGUGGAAUUCCUAGUGUAGCGGUGAAAUGCGUAGAUAUAAGGAAGAACACCAGUGGCGAAGGCGGAUUACUGGACGAUAACUGACGGUGAGGCGCGAAAGCGUGGGGAGCAAACAGGAUUAGAUACCCCAGUAGUA